UGGAACAUCGGUUCCAGUGCGAUCACCGAAGUUAAGCAACGUCGAGUCUUGCCAGUACCGAGAUGGGGGACCAUUUGGGAAUAUCACAUAUUGUAGG
Acanthosepion pharaonis is the source of this 97-nucleotide non-coding RNA. NCBI's taxonomy places the organism in Eukaryota, Metazoa, Mollusca, Cephalopoda, Sepiida, Sepiidae. The record is from the annotation of a GenBank genome assembly.